AUUGAACGCUGGCGGCAUGCCUUACACAUGCAAGUCGAACGGCAGCACGGGGGCAACCCUGGUGGCGAGUGGCGAACGGGUGAGUAAUGCAUCGGAACGUGCCCCGUAGCGGGGAUAACCAGUCGAAAGACUGGCUAAUACCGCAUACGCUCCACGGAGGAAAGCAGGGGAUCGCAAGACCUUGCACUAUGGGAGCGGCCGAUGCCCGAUUAGCUAGUUGGUGAGGUAAAGGCUCACCAAGGCGACGAUCGGUAGCUGGUUCGAGAGAACGACCAGCCACACUGGGACUGAGACACGGCCCAGACUCCUACGGGAGG
Molecule: ribosomal RNA, 317 nt
Filed under: uncultured bacterium
Lineage: Bacteria
Description: bacterial SSU rRNA
Rfam family: Bacterial small subunit ribosomal RNA
Source: RNAcentral